This 659-nucleotide long non-coding RNA is filed under the name Pan troglodytes (chimpanzee). RNAcentral describes it as "long non-coding RNA NONPTRT016254". Lineage: Eukaryota; Metazoa; Chordata; Mammalia; Primates; Hominidae. The record is from RNAcentral.
ACGAGGACGCGGGAGCGCUCUGCGCAGGGCAUCUACGUCUGGUCAAUGGAGCCCACCGAUGCGAGGGACGUGUAGAGCUCUACCUAGGGCAACGGUGGGGCACUGUCUGUGAUGAUGCUUGGGACCUGCGGGCAGCCGGUGUCCUGUGCCGCCAGCUGGGCUGUGGCCAGGCCCUCGCAGCCCCUGGCGAGGCUCACUUUGGCCCAGGCCGAGGCCCCAUUCUCCUGGACAAUGUCAAGUGCCGUGGGGAAGAAAGUGCUCUGCUGCUCUGCUCUCACAUCCGCUGGGAUGCCCACAACUGUGACCACAGCGAGGAUGCCAGUGUCCUGUGCCAGCCUUCAUGACCCAGCCCGCUCUGCAGACCACCUCUUCUUCUGGGAGCUGUGACCUGCCCUUCCUCCUCCAGGAAGCCCUCCUCUUGUGAUGACUACAGUUCACUUUGCUCCUCCUUCCCUUGCCUGGGAGAGAGCCUACCUAGACAGUGCAGUCCUGCUUGGGGGAGCCUGGCUGUACCCCCGUCCACUUACUGCGUGACCUCAGCCUGCCAUCGACUGUUGUGAGCCCAAUUCAGUGAAAGCUCCUGUGGUUUUGCUCAGCCAAAACCAAAACGAGGGGAAGAGGAUGAUUCCUAACUCUUCUGUUUGGUGGGGCUCUUUUUA